RNAcentral lists this ribosomal RNA (504 nucleotides) under uncultured bacterium. RNAcentral's name for it is "partial 16S ribosomal RNA". It matches the Rfam family "Bacterial small subunit ribosomal RNA", at positions 29 to 523 of the family's 1533-position model. The record is from RNAcentral.
AAUGAACGCUAGCGGCAGGCUUAAUACAUGCAAGUCGAGGGGCAGCAUGACUGUAGCAAUACAGUUGAUGGCGACCGGCAAGCGGGUGCGGAACACGUACAGAACCUUCCUUCGAGCGGGGAAUAGCCCAGAGAAAUUUGGAUUAAUACCCCAUAGUACAACGGAGUGGCAUCACUUUGUUGUUAAAGAUUUAUCACUUGAAGAUGGCUGUGCGGCUGAUUAGGUAGUUGGCGGGGUAACGGCCCACCAAGCCUGCGAUCAGUAACUGGUGUGAGAGCACGACCAGUCACACGGGCACUGAGACACGGGCCCGACUCCUACGGGAGGCAGCAGUAAGGAAUAUUGGUCAAUGGACGAAAGCCUGAACCAGCCAUGCCGCGUGGAGGAUGAAGGUCCUCUGGAUUGUAAACUUCUUUUAUAUGGGACGAAAAAAGGGUUUUCUAACUCGUCUGACGGUACCAUAUGAAUAAGCACCGGCUAACUCCGUGCCAGCAGCCGCCGUAA